This 792-nucleotide ribosomal RNA is filed under the name uncultured bacterium. RNAcentral describes it as "bacterial SSU rRNA". It matches the Rfam family "Bacterial small subunit ribosomal RNA", at positions 8 to 796 of the family's 1533-position model. The record is from RNAcentral.
AGAGUUUGAUCCUGGCUCAGGAUGAACGCUAGCGGCAGGCCUAAUACAUGCAAGCCGAACGGCGAGUUGAGUAGCAAUACUUGACCUAGAGUGGCGUAAGGGUGCGUAACACGUAUGCAAUCUGCCCACAACAGGAGGAUAGCUCCCCGAAAGGGGAAUUAACCCUCCAUAGCACCACACGAGGGCAUCCGAGGGUGGUUAAACCAAAAGGGGUUGUGGAUGAGCAUGCGGUUGAUUAGCUAGUUGGCGGGGUAACGGCCCACCAAGGCGAUGAUCAAUAGGGGAACUGAGAGGUUUAUCCCCCACACUGGCACUGAGAUACGGGCCAGACUCCUACGGGAGGCAGCAGUAGGGAAUAUUGGACAAUGGGCGAGAGCCUGAUCCAGCCAUGCCGCGUGCAGGAAGAAGGCCUUCUGGGUUGUAAACUGCUUUUGCCAGGGGAUAAAAGACCCGUGCGCGGGGAAUUGAAGGUACCUGGUGAAUAAGCCACGGCUAACUACGUGCCAGCAGCCGCGGUAAUACGUAGGUGGCAAGCGUUGUCCGGAUUUAUUGGGUUUAAAGGGUGCGUAGGCGGCCCUGUAAGUCAGUGGUGAAAUACGGCAGCUCAACUGUCGAGGUGCCAUUGAUACUGCAGGGCUUGAGUACAGACGAGGUAGGCGGAAUUGACGGUGUAGCGGUGAAAUGCUUAGAUAUCGUCAAGAACACCGAUAGCGAAGGCAGCUUACUAGACUGUAACUGACGCUGAGGCACGAAAGUGUGGGGAUCAAACAGGAUUAGAUACCCUAGUAGUCC